Carassius gibelio (silver crucian carp) is the source of this 1363-nucleotide long non-coding RNA. RefSeq lists it as uncharacterized. The transcript has 9 exons. The record is from RefSeq and is a predicted model, not a curated record. NCBI's taxonomy places the organism in Eukaryota, Metazoa, Chordata, Actinopteri, Cypriniformes, Cyprinidae.
GUUGUCGUGUCUGUUCAUGUUCUUGAUGGACUGGUGGCGUUGUUAUUUAUAUUUCAGGAGGUUGAAAUGAUGUCAAAUAUACAAGAAUCCACUGUAGUGUUAAAAGCUUCUGCUCAUAUCGCAUCUUACAGGUCUUGAUAACAACUGUAACUCAUGAAGUGGCCAUGGCAUUUUUAUUGGAAAAGAACCAAAUGAGCCAUGGCCCUUAUGCUCACAAGGGUUUUACUUAUUUCAGUGCACUUCAUUUUGCCCAUAUGGGGAAAUGUUUUGGGACUUCAGAAGAGAGACUGGGUGGGCAGUCAAUCUGCAAGCAUGAUAGAGGGUGAUGUGGAAUGUUUCUCUGAGUACAUGGAACUUUGGAUUCAUAGAAUGAGAAUUGAGGGACUAAGGCUCUGGCUGUCUGGAAUAUUACGGAUUUAAGGUAUUUUUUUUUUGGUGUUGGUUACCAGAGAGAUCCCUGUGGAUAACUGGAAUAAUGAGUUCGACUGGUCUCUGGCCUUGAGAGGGAGUCUGGUGGUGGCUUUGGAGGAGUCCAAUUUUAUUCGAGUAAAUGUUGAAAUGCAUAAACCAAACAUAACAGUUCAGGGGAGAAGACACCAUCUUAAGUGCAGGAGUGCAUCAAUCAGUCAGGUGAAAAACUUCAGCAAAAUUUCUACAAGAUAGAUGCUAUUCUCACCUUUAAAGAGACAAAUCAGAAAAUGCACUGGACCAUGGAAAAAUCCCUUUGUUCAGAUAUGUUAAAAUCACACCUCCAUUUAACACAUGAUGACGCACAAGAAGCUAAUGUGACAACACUUUCACCCGAGGGGAUAACAGACAAGCUAGAAGUUCCUGAUUAUUACAACAAAGAGUUUACCCCUCCUGUGCAACCAGAGAUGUCUACAGCAUCACAGACAGCAGAAGAAGAAUCCAGUAUAACCUCAGUACAAAUCCAACAACUCCAAACAUCUGAUGCACUUAGUACAUCAUCAACGGAGAUAGUAACCACCUAUUUACAGCUACGCUUUACGGUCUAAAGCACAACAAAGAUCUCUGGAGAAGUUGAUCUGUGCAUCAUUGACUGUGAGGGGCUGCAGUGCAGAACGGAUGGAUAUGCAGGUACCAACCGCACAGUCAGUCAAAUCAGUCAGUGAUUUUCCAAACAACACUAUUACUGAUGGUUGUCCAUUAAUCACAACGGUUGUAAUCACAGUUUGAAAUACAGCUACACAUUUAAGCACCAUUUUCACUCAGACUGGGAUUUACAACACAACAGUCAAGUGGACCCAUGCAUCUUCUCCGCUGACAAGCAAUCACAUGUGAGGAAUGAUUACAUCUAAAACUGUGUUUGUCGUGCCAUUUAAAUACAAUCUACUGUCUCAGA